UUGUAAGUCAGACGUGAAAGCCUUCUGUUCAACGGAAGAAUUGCAUCUGAAACUACAAACCUUGAGUGUAGGAGGGGAGAAUGGAACUUCUGGUGGAGCGGUGAAAUGCGUAUAUAUCAGAAGGAACGCCGGCGGCGAAAGCGAUUCUCUGGCCUAUUACUGACACUCAGUGUGCGAAAGCUAGGGGAGCAAACGGGAUUAGAUACCCCGGUAGUCCUAGCCGUAAACGAUGGGCACUAAGUAAAGGGGUU
RNAcentral lists this ribosomal RNA (251 nucleotides) under uncultured Planctomycetota bacterium. RNAcentral describes it as "uncultured planctomycete partial 16S ribosomal RNA". It matches the Rfam family "Bacterial small subunit ribosomal RNA", at positions 581 to 830 of the family's 1533-position model. The record is from RNAcentral. Lineage: Bacteria; Pseudomonadati; Planctomycetota.